RNAcentral lists this ribosomal RNA (496 nucleotides) under uncultured bacterium. RNAcentral's name for it is "partial 16S ribosomal RNA". It matches the Rfam family "Bacterial small subunit ribosomal RNA", at positions 29 to 507 of the family's 1533-position model. The record is from RNAcentral.
AUGGACGCUGGCGGCGUGCCUCAUCCCUGCAAGUCGAGCGAACGGACGAGAAGCUUGCUUCUCUGAUGUUAGCGGCGGACGGGUGAGUAACACGUGGAUAACCUACCUAUAAGACUGGGAUAACUUCGGGAAACCGGAGCUAAUACCGGAUAAUAUUUUGAACCGCAUGGUUCAAAAGUGAAAGACGGUCUUGCUGUCACUUAUAGAUGGAUCCGCGCUGCAUUAGCUAGUUGGUAAGGUAACGGCUUACCAAGGCAACGAUGCAUAGCCGACCUGAGAGGGUGAUCGGCCACACUGGAACUGAGACACGGUCCAGACUCCUACGGGAGGCAGCAGUAGGGAAUCUUCCGCAAUGGGCGAAAGCCUGACGGAGCAACGCCGCGUGAGUGAUGAAGGUCUUCGGAUCGUAAAACUCUGUUAUUAGGGAAGAACAUAUGUGUAAGUAACUGUGCACAUCUUGACGGUACCUAAUCAGAAAGCCACGGCUAACUACGUG